AGAUGAGAUGGGGCCAUUCCAGCACCCCUGCUGGAAGGCGACUGAUUAUUUUCAUUUUUCUUCCCCAUCACCUGUGACCUUGUAUGCCAAGCUUUUGUGCUAUGUUUGUCUCUCAUAAGGCUUUGUUACUGGCAAUAAGCUAAAAGUGGCUGAGGUUUGGUUGGUUUUGUUGUGGAAUUCUGUCUCUGCCCCCUUCGCCUUUGGUCAGACCCAUUUCAGAAAGGAAUUUGUCCCACAGGCAGAUGGAAGUUCCGCACUUUUAACAUAGACGUAUCUGGCUGCUGAUUCAUUCGUGUGUGUGUGUAAGAAGCACAAGCUUUGGGAGAAUAAACAGGAUAACCAAGCGGGCCCAGUCAGUAUUUCUCCUGUUGCGCACAUGUUCCCAUCAACAUCCUGAGAUGCAAAGGGGAGGGGGAGAGACAUGCUACUUGACGGCUUAAAAUGAAUGCAUGUGAAAAUAUGCUUGCCUGUGCUAGACUGAACCCACUUGACAUGUCCCUCCUCAUGCGCACAUGCAUGCCUCUGCGUGUCCACACUUACGCUUCACAGCCAGUGCUUGGACCAUGUGAUGAGACACGCUGGCUGGAGGCUUUCCUGGGGAUUUUCCCUGGUUCGAGGAAACAGGCGAUGAUUCCACUCUGCGCCAGAGACUUUCUAGCUGCGAUUUCCCAGCCUCCCCAGAACAUUUCCGAAUGCCUUUUGAUCUUUGAGACCAAAAGAGCCCCCCAGAUGUGUGGGUGCUUAUAAUGUGUCUGCUCUCCCUGCUUCAUGGGGCAGGAGACACAGGGGCUCCAAUGCCAGCAGGGCUCCUCAUCCAAUGCAUGCAUUUUAUUCUGAGCUUUAUCCAUGGUGGUGAACCUACUUUGGGAAGGGGGUCAGCCCCAUAGGCUAUAAAGUCCAGCACUCCAUUCCCACAGGGGCCCAAAGGAAACACACAAGCCAGGCAGGAGUGCAAGCACCAGUGCACCUGGUCACACCACCUCUGAAACUGUGAGGGGAGCAUGUAGCCCCCUGGACUAGUAGCCAUCCUCCUCCCAUCUCAUCUCUGCUCCCACGGGCAUGCUGAUUCAGCUGGGAGGCCGUGGCACUGCUGUUUCUUGUUCUGAGUCACACUGGUACCUGAGCUCAGGAGAGAGGCAGAUCCAGCUGCAAAGUUGACGGAGGCCAGGGAAGGAUGACAAGCGCUUGUCAAGCAAAAGUUGGAAUCCCCUUCAUAGCUCUGCCCACUUUUGACUCUGGUCCCACCCACGAUAGAAGUAUGACCCCCUACAAGCCUGGUUGCAGCUCUUACAUGACAGACUGUCCCCAUUCCUGGCAUAAAGCAUCCAAGGUCAUUGCAAGUGGGGUGGGGGGAUAGCUUGGUUCGUAAACCCCCCUCUCUCAACGGGAGGCUGCAUUGUCCAAGAGCUCUGAAUCCUGGAGCCAGCCUUGCACUUUGGAAUCCAUGGUGGGCUGCUGGCUGUGUUAUGCAGACACUAAUCCCCAAUUGUUAUAGAAGAUAUGACACUCUGUGGCUUUAAUUACAUUACAAGUAAGGCAAAGACAUCUUCAUGAGCCUCUCAAAGAUUACAGCUUGCUACUGAGAUCUUAAACACUCCUGCAAUAUGUUCACUCUAUUUUCAGGAAGGUGUACGAAAAGUGUGGGGAAGUCAGAGGGACUUCUGGGCAGAGGUCUCUAUUAUCAGUUUUCUCCUGUUGCGACAGGCACUUUGUGAUCUCAUUUUUAUCAGUGGUGUGUUUUUCCUGUUGUUUAUAUUAAUGCUUGCAAAAAGAAUGCCAGAUUUAUUAACUGUGCGAGGUUAAUAAACGUAAGAGGGUUUUGAUGAGGUGGUGGUAGGAAAUGUGCCACUCUCUUAAAGAAAAAAGGAAGGAAAAUAUGGUCACUGUGACUUGAGCAGAAGUGUGUCAUUAAAUCAGAGCAGGAGAGGGGGAAGGUUGAGUAAAAUAGCUGAGGAACUGUUACUUGCAUAAUUCCAGAAAACUCAGCCAGGGCAUCUUGCAGAAGAAGCAGGAAAUGCUUGUGUGCAUCCCAGAAGCUCUACUUUUGGCUUCAUUGUUCUUCAUCCAAGGGCUGCCUGUUACACUUGUUCAGAGAAAUCAUAAUGAUGUGCAGAAAUCCCCCAAAUUCUGCAAGAAGAGAAGCAGAAUGGAUGCUUUGCCUAAGUUCUUCUUCAGCCUCAUGCCCUGCAGAUGCAUUGGACUACAGCCUAGCUCUCUGCAGGAAGCUUGAAAUGGUAGUCUAACAAAUCUGGAGCAUAUGGGGUUGGGGAAGGCUGGUAUAAAGGGUAUGGGCUUGUGUGGCUUCUUUUAUGUGCCUUGAGCUGCUCAUGGGUGGGAUGGGUGGACAUCGGGCAGUGCAGGCUCUCAGAGAGUCCCCUGCUCCACAGCUGCAGAGACUGGGCCCAGUACUGAUGGCACCUGCAGUCUCCAGUGGGGUCCUUAUCAUCCCCUGCAUUGUUAAAGAAUGUAUCUUCCCAUUUUUAGAUCCCACAUGCAUGGCUUUGAACAAAAAGCAUCCAACUUCCCAGCAAUAAUGCAUAAGCUUCAACCAAAGUUGACCAUCAAUAGCUCCUUGAAAGCCAAUGCUCGAGGCUGACUGUUGUGGAAGGCCCAGAGAGCUUCAGCUUCUGGGCAGGAUAGAAAUUGGGUGGGUGGAAACAGAGGCAGCAGAGCUGCCCAUCCCUACUGGCUCGGCACCCUCCCCCGCUUGCCCACAAAGUGGCCUUGCCAGAGUGGCCUUCUGGGGAAACGCAUGAUAUGGCCAGGAAUGGGGAGGGCCCUGCUCUGUCAGGGCUGGCCCUCCUAGCUGGCAGAGGAAGACAGGCAUCCCAGGCCGCGAAUGCUGGGUGGUGGGCAGAAGGUGCCGGAGCAAGAUAGUUGUGUGUCCCACGUCCUGCCCCUCGCCUCUUGUGCUCGCCUGCUGCCUUUGGGCAUUGGGGAGAAAGUGGCCCCAACAGGCCAAACCCAAGCAAGCUGCCUGUCAGACCAGGUGGCUUUUGUAUAUGGAAUGGAAGGUGGGCCUGCCCUGAAUUUUGCCCCAGGCCUUUUCUCUGGCGGCCACCCCAGCUAGGCCCAGCAUGGCAGUCUUUUCAGCCUCAGAUCGAAAACAUGUUUAUUUGCCCAAGAAGCUCAGAUUGGUCACUCAUACUUCAAUGCAGUCUUUAGUCCAUGGUCUCAUACUAGUUUAUUUGUUAUGAAGAUUUUUGCUUUGCUGUAUUUGUAUUUGAUGUGCUUUAUUUUAUUCAUGCCUGCUAUACACUUCUUUCGUAUCCAUAAGAAUGAACAACAGCCUACAAAUAAGCCCAAUAUAUACAUAAAUUAAUUAGAUGAAUAAUAGAGGUACUAUAUUUUGCAAACAAACCACCUUUGCUGCACUCCAUGGCUGAAAUUAACAUGACAAUUUGCCUGUCCGAGGCCAUGUGCUCCUUUCCUAGUUAGCUGUUUCCAACCAGAUGCCUUCCUGAUGUGUUUGACUACAACUCCCAUCAUCCCCUAGUCAACAUGGGCAACACAUCUGGCAUGUACCAAGUUGUGAAAGGCAAAAUUAGACCAACAAGAUGAACGGGUGUUCCAGCAUCAGUACUAUGAAACAGAAUGAUUGUAAAUCAGGAACUUUUGCUAUGCUUUCAGCAGUCCAAGGAAUAUUCAUUCUCGCUUCCUCUCCACACCUCCACAGAGCUUAAUUAAAGAAUACUUCCUAUUAAUUUUGUCCAGCAGCCUUACGGAGCAGCCUGCUCUCCACUCCUGGUCUUCACAUUGGGUCACUGCUUGCCUUAGGACAUGUCCUUACACAGCCGUGAGCAUGGAAUCUUGUUGGGAUGGACGCAUGGGCUACAUUUACUCGGAAUCUGACAACGAGCUGUAUUUAGGCAACGGUAUACCUGGACUGAUUCAGUUAAAUCAGCUGCAUGGAGGUCCUUCAAGCUGAUUGUCUUGAGAAUGGGUUACUUGCUUGAAAGCUCCCCAUUCUUAAAAGAGGCCUACAAAUAGUUUUGGACAGAGAUGUUCAUCUCCAGCAGGAGCAAGUGUUCUGCAAAGCUAAUUGCCCAUUUGAGACUGAGCUGCCCCCACCUGGGGAUGAUAUAUCCUUGCUAGGCAAGUUUGUUUUCAUCAUCUCCACCCCUGCAACUGUGAGGGAUGCUAGCCCUGCAAAUCCAUGAGCUCUGCUUUCACUACACUACAGUGGGAUCUAUUCCAUUUAUUACAAGCAUGCCAAGAUCCACCAGCUGGAACCAGGAGCAGAAGUGACUCAGGAGGGUGACCUGCAAUUGAGAAAGAAGACCAGGUCAAUUCUUGCCCCCUGUCAGCUUGGGUUAAAGAAGGAUACAGCCAAGGGGGUGGUAUGGAACAGCCCUCCCAUUGUAUGUGUUCCAUCACUGAGUAAGAUCUGGAGGAAGGGUUCUCCAUAGCGGCUCCCAGAGCUCUCCACUUGGCCUUUGGUCUGCAGGAGGAAAAAAGCUUAAAGGACAACAUGUAAUUUCUUUAUGAAGGCUGCGAGUUAGAUCUCAUGUGGCAAGCAGCUUUGACGUUUAAGAGAAGCAUUUGUACAUCCCUUUUUGUGACAGCUUCUUUAUUGUUACCUGCAAACGACAUGAUGGGACAGUACGACUAAACACAGUGGAGAGACAUCGUCCACAGUUGGCUGUUUGGAAACAGCAAAAGCAACUUCUUCCCUUCAGUAUGUGUCUUCAGUCGUGUUUACCUUGGCGAGAUGGCCACCUCCUCUCACUGCCAAAAUAACGAGGUGAUAAUGUAGGUCACAGUUGCACAGUCGCCUUCCUGACCUACAUAUCUUAUGCUCUUGUUGGGUGUCACUUAGCAUUACAGCUGACUGAAUGCUUGUGCUACAUCCAGACCCAUUGUCAGUCAAUAAAGAGUGUACAUGUGUGUUA
Varanus komodoensis (Komodo dragon) is the source of this 4892-nucleotide long non-coding RNA. RefSeq lists it as uncharacterized. The record is from RefSeq and is a predicted model, not a curated record. Lineage: Eukaryota; Metazoa; Chordata; Lepidosauria; Squamata; Varanidae. The transcript is spliced from 2 exons.